UGGGGAAUAUUGCACAAUGGGGGAAACCCUGAUGCAGCGACGCCGCGUGAACGAAGAAGGUAUUCGUAUCGUAAAGUUCUGUCCUAUGGGAAGAUAAUGACAGUACCAUAGAAGAAAGCUCCGGCUAAAUACGUGCCAGCAGCCGCGGUAAUACGUAUGGAGCGAGCGUUGUCCGGAAUUAUUGGGCGUAAAGGGUACGCAGGCGGUUUAAUAAGUCGAAUGUUAAAGAUCGGGGCUCAACCCCGUAAAGCAUUGGAAACUGAUAAACUUGAGUAGUGGAGAGGAAAGUGGAAUUCAUAGUGUAGUGGUGAAAUACGUAGAUAUUAGGAGGAAUACCAGUAGCGAAGGCGACUUUCUGGACACAAACUGACGCUGAGGUACGAAAGCGUGGGGAGCAAACAGG
RNAcentral lists this ribosomal RNA (403 nucleotides) under bacterium. RNAcentral describes it as "partial 16S ribosomal RNA". It matches the Rfam family "Bacterial small subunit ribosomal RNA", at positions 355 to 776 of the family's 1533-position model. The record is from RNAcentral.